This 445-nucleotide ribosomal RNA is filed under the name uncultured bacterium. Its description in RNAcentral is "partial 16S ribosomal RNA". It matches the Rfam family "Bacterial small subunit ribosomal RNA", at positions 354 to 796 of the family's 1533-position model. The record is from RNAcentral.
GUGAGGAAUAUUGGUCAAUGGACGAGAGUCUGAACCAGCCAAGUCGCGUGAAGGAAGACGGUUCUAUGAAUUGUAAACUUCUUUUGUGCAGGAAUAAAGUGGGUUACGUGUAACCUUUUGUAUGUACUGUACGAAUAAGGAUCGGCUAACUCCGUGCCAGCAGCCGCGGUAAUACGGAGGAUCCGAGCGUUAUCCGGAUUUAUUGGGUUUAAAGGGUGCGUAGGUGGAUUGAUAAGUCAGCGGUGAAAGUUUGCAGCUUAACUGUAAAAUUGCCGUUGAAACUGUCGGUCUUGAGUGCAAAUGAGGUAGGCGGAAUGUGUUGUGUAGCGGUGAAAUGCUUAGAUAUAACACAGAACUCCGAUUGCGAAGGCAGCUUACUGGGAUGCAACUGACACUGAUGCACGAAAGCGUGGGUAUCAAACAGGAUUAGAAACCCCUGUAGUCC